This 359-nucleotide unclassified non-coding RNA is filed under the name uncultured fungus. RNAcentral describes it as "sequence contains ITS1". The stretch from base 1 to 104 matches the Rfam family "5.8S ribosomal RNA", at positions 50 to 154 of the family's 154-position model. The record is from RNAcentral. Lineage: Eukaryota; Fungi.
GAAUCGCGAUAGGAAUUGCGAAUUGCAGAAUUCAGUGAAUCAUCGUAACUUUGAACGCAAACUGCGCUUGGGGGUUGACCCCGAGCAUGCCUCUCUGAGUGUCGGUCAAACCAUCCCUCGCGUUUUCCCAGGGGUUGUGAGAGUUCUGUCGAUCUCUUGAAGAACGAGUAGCGCCCGCAAGGGUGUGUGACUAGCGACUGGCGCUUCGUCAGCAGCGAGUGGAGAUGAAAGUUUUCACGAGCGACGUCGAGCCUGGCGCAAAGCAUACUUGCUCUACAGUGUCUUGAUGUCUAGGCAUCGCAGACACAGCUGUUCUGACCAUCGACCUCAGAUGAGGUAGGAUUACCCGCUGAACUUAA